ACACGUAGGGGGCAAGCGUUGUUCGGAAUUAUUGGGCGUAAAGGGCAUGUAGGCGGUUUGGUAAGCCUGAUGUGAAAUCCUGCAGCUUAACUGUAGAACUGCAUUGGGUACUGCCGAACUUGAAUCACUGAGGGGAAACUAGAAUUCCAGGUGUAGGGGUGGAAUCUGUAGAUAUCUGGAAGAAUACCGGUGGCGAAGGCGGGUUUCUAGCAGAUGAUUGACGCUGAGGUGCGAAAGUGCGGGGAGCGAACAGGAUUAGAUACCCUGGUAGUCCGCACCGUAAACGAUGUACACUAGGUGUCGGGGCAUGAGUCUCGGUGCCAAAGCUAACGUAAUAAGUGUACCGCCUGGGAAGUAUGCCCGCAAGGGUGAAACUCAAAGGAAUUGGCGGGG
RNAcentral lists this ribosomal RNA (393 nucleotides) under uncultured bacterium. RNAcentral's name for it is "partial 16S ribosomal RNA". It matches the Rfam family "Bacterial small subunit ribosomal RNA", at positions 523 to 918 of the family's 1533-position model. The record is from RNAcentral.